UAGCGGCGAACGGGUGAGUAACACGUGGGCAACCUGCCCUCAGCUCUGGGAUAACUCCAAGAAAUUGGUGCUAAUACCGGAUGUGACCGCUGACCGCAUGGUCUGGUGGUGGAAAGAUUUAUCGGCUGAGGAUGGGCCCGCGGCCUAUCAGCUUGUUGGUGGGGUGAUGGCCUACCAAGGCGACGACGGGUAGCCGGCCUGAGAGGGUGACCGGCCACACUGGGACUGAGACACGGCCCAGACUCCUACGGGAGGCAGCAGUGGGGAAUAUUGCGCAAUGGGCGAAAGCCUGACGCAGCGACGCCGCGUGAGGGAUGACGGCCUUCGGGUUGUAAACCUCUUUCAGCAGGGACGAAGCGAAAGUGACGGUACCUGCAGAAGAAGCACCGGCCAACUACGUGCCAGCAGCCGCGGUAAUACGUAGGGUGCAAGCGUUGUCCGGAAUUAUUGGGCGUAAAGAGCUCGUAGGCGGUCUGUCGCGUCGGCUGUGAAAACCCGAGGCUCAACCUCGGGCCUGCAGUCGAUACGGGCAAACUUGAGUGUUGCAGGGGAGACUGGAAUUCCUGGUGUAGCGGUGAAAUGCGCAGAUAUCAGGAGGAACACCGGUGGCGAAGGCGGGUCUCUGGGCAACAACUGACGCU
RNAcentral lists this ribosomal RNA (641 nucleotides) under Blastococcus sp. I12A-02690. Its description in RNAcentral is "bacterial SSU rRNA". It matches the Rfam family "Bacterial small subunit ribosomal RNA", at positions 93 to 747 of the family's 1533-position model. Lineage: Bacteria; Bacillati; Actinomycetota; Actinomycetes; Geodermatophilales; Geodermatophilaceae. The record is from RNAcentral.